CCUACGGGAGGCAGCAGUGGGGAAUUUUGGACAAUGGGCGCAAGCCUGAUCCAGCCAUGCCGCGUGCAGGAUGAAGGCCUUCGGGUUGUAAACUGCUUUUGUACGGAACGAAAAGGUCUGCCCUAAUACGGUGGGCCCAUGACGGUACCGUAAGAAUAAGCACCGGCUAACUACGUGCCAGCAGCCGCGGUAAUACGUAGGGUGCAAGCGUUAAUCGGAAUUACUGGGCGUAAAGCGUGCGCAGGCGGUAAUGUAAGACAGAUGUGAAAUCCCCGGGCUCAACCUGGGAACUGCAUUUGUGACUGCAUUGCUGGAGUGCGGCAGAGGGGGAUGGAAUUCCGCGUGUAGCAGUGAAAUGCGUAGAUAUGCGGAGGAACACCGAUGGCGAAGGCAAUCCCCUGGGCCUGCACUGACGCUCAUGCACGAAAGCGUGGGGAGCAAACAGGAUUAGAUACCCUGGUAGUCCACGCCCUAAACGAUGUCAACUGGUUGUUGGGUCUUCAUUGACUCAGUAACGAAGCUAACGCGUGAAGUUGACCGCCUGGGGAGUACGGCCGCAAGGUUGAAACUCGAAAGGAAUUGACGG
This 586-nucleotide ribosomal RNA is filed under the name uncultured bacterium. RNAcentral describes it as "bacterial SSU rRNA". It matches the Rfam family "Bacterial small subunit ribosomal RNA", at positions 338 to 916 of the family's 1533-position model. The record is from RNAcentral.